This 445-nucleotide ribosomal RNA is filed under the name uncultured bacterium. RNAcentral's name for it is "bacterial SSU rRNA". It matches the Rfam family "Bacterial small subunit ribosomal RNA", at positions 331 to 792 of the family's 1533-position model. The record is from RNAcentral.
CCAGACUCCUACGGGAGGCAGCAGUGGGGAAUAUUGCACAAUGGGGGGAACCCUGAUGCAGCGACGCCGCGUGGGUGAAGGAGUAUUUCGGUAUGUAAAGCCCUAUCAGCAGGGAAGAACAAUGACGGUACCUGACUAAGAAGCACCGGCUAAAUACGUGCCAGCAGCCGCGGUAAUACGUAUGGUGCAAGCGUUAUCCGGAUUUACUGGGUGUAAAGGGAGCGUAGACGGCGACGCAAGUCUGGAGUGAAAGCCCGGGGCCCAACCCCGGGACUGCUCUGGAAACUGCGGCGCUGGAGUACGGGAGGGGCAGGCGGAAUUCCUGGUGUAGCGGUGAAAUGCGUAGAUAUCAGGAGGAACACCGGCGGCGAAGGCGGCCUGCUGGACCGUGACUGACGUUGAGGCUCGAAAGCGUGGGGAGCGAACAGGAUUAGAUACCCCUGUA